RNAcentral lists this ribosomal RNA (396 nucleotides) under uncultured bacterium. Its description in RNAcentral is "partial 16S ribosomal RNA". It matches the Rfam family "Bacterial small subunit ribosomal RNA", at positions 523 to 918 of the family's 1533-position model. The record is from RNAcentral.
AUACGGAGGAUGCGAGCGUUAUCCGGAUUUAUUGGGUUUAAAGGGUGCGCAGGCGGCGUGUCAAGUCAGCGGUCAAAAUGCGGCGCUCAACGCCGUACCGCCGUUGAAACUGGCAUGCUCGAGUUCGUGCGAGGAUGGCGGAAUGCGCGGUGUAGCGGUGAAAUGCAUAGAUAUCGCGCAGAACUCCGAUUGCGAAGGCAGCUGUCCAGCACACGACUGACGCUCAUGCACGAAAGCGUGGGUAUCGAACAGGAUUAGAUACCCUGGUAGUCCACGCGGUAAACGAUGAUAACUAGUUAUUCGGCGCGAUUGAGCGCUGAGUGACCGAGCGAAAGCGUUAAGUUAUCCACCUGGGGAGUACGCCGGCAACGGUGAAACUCAAAUGAAUUGACGGGG